GAUGAACGCUGGCGGCGUGCCUAAUACAUGCAAGUCGAGCGAAAAGACGAGGAACUUGCUUCUCUGACGUAAGCGGCGGACGGGGGAGUAAAACGUGGAGAACAUAGCUAUAAGACGGGGAUAAAUUAGGGAAAACGGAACCAAUAACGGCAAAAAUAUGGAAGAGCAAGGAUGAAUAGUGAAAGACGGCUUGGCUGUGACUGAGAGAAGGAGCCGCGACGCAUUAGCUAGUUGGUAGGGUAACGGCUUACCAAGGCAACGAUGCGUAGCCGACCUGAGAGGGUGAUCGGCCACACUGGAACUGAGACACGGUCCAGACUCCUACGGGAGGCAGCAGUAGGGAAUCUUCCGCAAUGGGCGAAAGCCUGACGGAGCCACGCCGCGUGUGUGAUGAAGGUCUUCGGAUCGUAAAGCUCUUUUAUCAGGGAAGAACAAAUUUGUAUGUAUCUCUGCACGUCUUGACGUUACCUAAUCAGAAAGCCACGGCUAACUACGUG
This 497-nucleotide ribosomal RNA is filed under the name uncultured bacterium. RNAcentral's name for it is "partial 16S ribosomal RNA". It matches the Rfam family "Bacterial small subunit ribosomal RNA", at positions 28 to 507 of the family's 1533-position model. The record is from RNAcentral.